This 273-nucleotide ribosomal RNA is filed under the name uncultured bacterium. Its description in RNAcentral is "partial 16S ribosomal RNA". It matches the Rfam family "Bacterial small subunit ribosomal RNA", at positions 524 to 796 of the family's 1533-position model. The record is from RNAcentral.
UACGAAGGGUGCAAGCGUUACUCGGAAUUACUGGGCGUAAAGCGUGCGUAGGUGGUUCGUUAAGUCUGAUGUGAAAGCCCUGGGCUCAACCUGGGAAUUGCAUUGGAUACUGGCGGGCUAGAGUACGGUAGAGGGUGGCGGAAUUCCCGGUGUAGCAGUGAAAUGCGUAGAGAUCGGGAGGAACAUCCGUGGCGAAGGCGGCCACCUGGACCAGUACUGACACUGAGGCACGAAAGCGUGGGGAGCAAACAGGAUUAGAAACCCCUGUAGUCC